UUAAAUUGAAGAGUUUGAUCAUGGCUCAGAUUGAACGCUGGCGGCAGGCCUAACACAUGCAAGUCGAACGGUAACAGGAAGAAGCUUGCUUCUUUGCUGACGAGUGGCGGACGGGUGAGUAAUGUCUGGGAAACUGCCUGAUGGAGGGGGAUAACUACUGGAAACGGUAGCUAAUACCGCAUAACGUCGCAAGACCAAAGAGGGGGACCUUCGGGCCUCUUGCCAUCGGAUGUGCCCAGAUGGGAUUAGCUUGUAGGUGGGGUAACGGCUCACCUAGGCGACGAUCCCUAGCUGGUCUGAGAGGAUGACCAGCCACACUGGAACUGAGACACGGUCCAGACUCCUACGGGAGGCAGCAGUGGGGAAUAUUGCACAAUGGGCGCAAGCCUGAUGCAGCCAUGCCGCGUGUAUGAAGAAGGCCUUCGGGUUGUAAAGUACUUUCAGCGGGGAGGAAGGGAGUAAAGUUAAUACCUUUGCUCAUUGACGUUACCCGCAGAAGAAGCACCGGCUAACUCCGUGCCAGCAGCCGCGGUAAUACGGAGGGUGCAAGCGUUAAUCGGAAUUACUGGGCGUAAAGCGCACGCAGGCGGUUUGUUAAGUCAGAUGUGAAAUCCCCGGGCUCAACCUGGGAACUGCAUCUGAUACUGGCAAGCUUGAGUCUCGUAGAGGGGGGUAGAAUUCCAGGUGUAGCGGUGAAAUGCGUAGAGAUCUGGAGGAAUACCGGUGGCGAAGGCGGCCCCCUGGACGAAGACUGACGCUCAGGUGCGAAAGCGUGGGGAGCAAACAGGAUUAGAUACCCUGGUAGUCCACGCCGUAAACGAUGUCGACUUGGAGGUUGUGCCCUUGAGGCGUGGCUUCCGGAGCUAACGCGUUAAGUCGACCGCCUGGGGAGUACGGCCGCAAGGUUAAAACUCAAAUGAAUUGACGGGGGCCCGCACAAGCGGUGGAGCAUGUGGUUUAAUUCGAUGCAACGCGAAGAACCUUACCUGGUCUUGACAUCCACGGAAGUUUUCAGAGAUGAGAAUGUGCCUUCGGGAACCGUGAGACAGGUGCUGCAUGGCUGUCGUCAGCUCGUGUUGUGAAAUGUUGGGUUAAGUCCCGCAACGAGCGCAACCCUUAUCCUUUGUUGCCAGCGGUCCGGCCGGGAACUCAAAGGAGACUGCCAGUGAUAAACUGGAGGAAGGUGGGGAUGACGUCAAGUCAUCAUGGCCCUUACGACCAGGGCUACACACGUGCUACAAUGGCGCAUACAAAGAGAAGCGACCUCGCGAGAGCAAGCGGACCUCAUAAAGUGCGUCGUAGUCCGGAUUGGAGUCUGCAACUCGACUCCAUGAAGUCGGAAUCGCUAGUAAUCGUGGAUCAGAAUGCCACGGUGAAUACGUUCCCGGGCCUUGUACACACCGCCCGUCACACCAUGGGAGUGGGUUGCAAAAGAAGUAGGUAGCUUAACCUUCGGGAGGGCGCUUACCACUUUGUGAUUCAUGACUGGGGUGAAGUCGUAACAAGGUAACCGUAGGGGAACCUGCGGUUGGAUCACCUCCUUACCUUAAAGAAGC
Molecule: ribosomal RNA, 1556 nt
Filed under: Escherichia coli
Lineage: Bacteria; Pseudomonadati; Pseudomonadota; Gammaproteobacteria; Enterobacterales; Enterobacteriaceae
Description: bacterial SSU rRNA
Rfam family: Bacterial small subunit ribosomal RNA
Source: RNAcentral